GACGAACGCUGGCGGCGUGCUUAACACAUGCAAGUCGAACGGAAAGGCCCUGCUUUUGUGGGGUGCUCGAGUGGCGAACGGGUGAGUAACACGUGAGUAACCUGCCAUUGACUUUGGGAUAACUUCAGGAAACUGGGGCUAAUACCGGAUAGGAGCUACUGCUGCAUGGUGGGGGUUGGAAAGUUUCGGCGGUUGGGGAUGGACUCGCGGCUUAUCAGCUUGUUGGUGGGGUAGUGGCUUACCAAGGCUUUGACGGGUAGCCGGCCUGAGAGGGUGACCGGCCACAUUGGGACUGGGAUGCGGCCCAGACUCCUACGGGAGGCAGCAGUGGGGGAUAUUGCACAAUGGGCGGAAGCCUGAUGCAGCAACGCCGCGUGCGGGAUGACGGCCUUCGGGUUGUAAACCGCUUUCGCCUGUGACGAAGCGUGAGUGACGGUAAUGGGUAAAGAAGCACCGGCUAACUACGUG
Molecule: ribosomal RNA, 468 nt
Filed under: uncultured bacterium
Lineage: Bacteria
Description: partial 16S ribosomal RNA
Rfam family: Bacterial small subunit ribosomal RNA
Source: RNAcentral